RNAcentral lists this ribosomal RNA (610 nucleotides) under uncultured sulfate-reducing bacterium. Its description in RNAcentral is "bacterial SSU rRNA". It matches the Rfam family "Bacterial small subunit ribosomal RNA", at positions 227 to 828 of the family's 1533-position model. The record is from RNAcentral.
GGGUCCGCGUUUCAUUAGCUAGUUGGUAGGGUAAUGGCCUACCAAGGCAACGAUGAGUAGCUGGUCUGAGAGGAUGAUCAGCCACACUGGAACUGAAACACGGUCCAGACUCCUACGGGAGGCAGCAGUGGGGAAUAUUGCGCAAUGGGCGAAAGCCUGACGCAGCAACGCCGUGUGAGGGAUGAAGGCUUUCGGGUCGUAAACCUCUGUCGGAAGGGAAGAACGGGCAAUGGUCUAAUAGGCCGUUGUUUUGACGGUACCUUUAGAGGAAGCACCGGCUAACUCCGUGCCAGCAGCCGCGGUAAUACGGAGGGUGCAAGCGUUAUUCGGAAUUACUGGGCGUAAAGCGCACGUAGGCGGCCUUGUAAGUCAGGGGUGAAAUCCCACGGCUCAACCGUGGAACUGCCUUUGAAACUGCAGGGCUUGAAUCCUGGAGAGGGUGGCGGAAUUCCUGGUGUAGGAGUGAAAUCCGUAGAUAUCAGGAGGAACACCGGUGGCGAAGGCGGCCACCUGGACAGGUAUUGACGCUGAGGUGCGAAAGUGUGGGGAGCAAACAGGAUUAGAUACCCUGGUAGUCCACACCGUAAACGAUGGAUGCUAGGUGCCGGGC